This is a long non-coding RNA of Choloepus didactylus (southern two-toed sloth), 327 nucleotides long. RefSeq lists it as uncharacterized. The record is from RefSeq and is a predicted model, not a curated record. Lineage: Eukaryota; Metazoa; Chordata; Mammalia; Pilosa; Megalonychidae. The transcript is spliced from 3 exons.
UUGGUAUCUUGGUUAUCCAUGAAUAAGAAGACAUGGAGCAGAAAUGCAUUUGCUUCAGUGGCAAUUGUAUGCUUUUCAUUUGACUGCCAAAGAGACCACUUCAGGAAGGUGAAUUAUCUAAAGAAAAAUGGAAGACAGGAGUAGAUCCAGGCUGUUCUGUUUUUAAAGAAGACCACUACCCUUGUCUUCCUGCCAGCGUAAAUAAAGCCUCUUUUCCCUCUGGCUUUACUGACUUCUACUGACUGCACCGAGUGAGGAACCCAGAUUUGGGCAGUGCCCCUUCUACAUAUUGAAGUCUUCCGUGCUAUUUAAUUAAAGGGAACAGAA